Molecule: unclassified non-coding RNA, 345 nt
Filed under: soil metagenome
Description: partial contains 5.8S ribosomal RNA, internal transcribed spacer 2, and large subunit ribosomal RNA
Rfam family: 5.8S ribosomal RNA (bases 1-120)
Source: RNAcentral
GAUGAAGAACGUAGCGAAAUGCGAUACGUAAUGUGAAUUGCAGAAUUCAGUGAAUCAUCGAGUCUUUGAACGCACAUUGCGCCCCCAGGUAUUCCGGGGGGCAUGCCUGUCCGAGCGUCAUUGCUGCCCUCAAGCACGGCUUGUGUGUUGGGCCUCCGUCCUCCUCCCGGGGGACGGGCCCGAAAGGCAGCGGCGGCACCGCGUCCGGUCCUCGAGCGUAUGGGGCUUCGUCACCCGCUCUUGUAGGCCCGGCCGGCGCUUGCCGACACAUCAAUCUUUUUUCCAGGUUGACCUCGGAUCAGGUAGGGAUACCCGCUGAACUUAAGCAUAUCAAUAAGCGGAGGA